UUGAGAAAACACAGAAAAAAAGGGAAUUAAUCGUGGAUACAUUCUAUGCCUAUUCCCACAAUAUUCAUAUACCUUGCACAUGAACCACCGCCCGUUUGGGGUAAGAAAAAAACGAAUGUAUUUACGUGUUGAAUGCCUUCAUUAGUCGUCUAUCUCGGUCAGAACCAAGCCCUCUCGGAAGGUUGUUUCGGUGGGCUCUCCCGUGGUUGAAAGGCUCUGAUUGUCCACCAGAGGUCACAAUGUCCUUCUUCUUAGUUGUCUGUGCUUGUAGUGGAGUGUUUUCACAGCAGAUAUUCAGACGCACCAAUGAUUAUCUGAGAUGGGAUUUUAUCCUUCCCACCUUGUGUCUUUAGUCUGAGUUUGAAGCACUUUACACGCACAGCUGCAGACUGGCAAUGUUCAGGUCUACUCUGGGUCUUAUCUUCUUCACCUCGGGAUGAGGUUAAGUUGUAACCAUUUUCAACAUGUAGCUAACGCUCCACGCAUUUCUGGUCUGGUAUGUUAAUUCUUAGCGUGUCCUUUUAGGCACUCAGGCCAAAGGGGGUGUUCCGUCAUGCUGACAUGAACUCUGAACUCACUUGGGGCGUGGCUAGUCACUGUGCAUAGUUUAUAUGAAGAACAAUUAUCUCAUUAGGAACUAAAAUCUCAUUCCUAUCUUAACAAAAAUAGUUUCAUCCAUUUUCAUAUCACACAGACAGCGUAUUGGAUGGAAACUGGACAGAUAAAACAUGUACACUUUCCGAGUUACAGUAUUUUCUUGAUACCAUUCUUAAUGACAUCACAAAAUAAUAAACAACGUGGCAUGAUUAUUCUUUAGAUCCCCAUUGACCAUUCCAAAAAGACGGAUGUUAGAAAUAUUGUUCCAGUGUUUACUUUUUGGACGUUAUAGUCUUAGCGGCAAAGGUCUUCCGUAGACAAAGGAACAUUUCUUUCCCAAUACUGAAGAGCAAGCGGGAGAUUUCCCUCGAAUUUUUGACAGAGUUUUAAGGUGUCAAAACCGGCCCAGCCCCCCCUCUCUUCUCUUAUGUGGGUGAGAUGGGUCUGGUCAUCGUCAGCCAUUUGCCAAGCUGAUAUGAGGCCUUGGAUCCUCAGCCAGGAGAG
This 1101-nucleotide long non-coding RNA is filed under the name Salmo salar (Atlantic salmon). Its description in RNAcentral is "lncRNA (ENSSSAG00000095469.1)". The record is from RNAcentral. Lineage: Eukaryota; Metazoa; Chordata; Actinopteri; Salmoniformes; Salmonidae.